GAAAGAUAUCCUUCCAAACGUUACAGUGGGAACCAUCGGGAAAGUCUUGGUUCUUUACCUCGCCAAAAGAUCCCUUUCCGGGAUCCUUCUUAUUCAAGGCCGGUCAGCAAUCAAUAUGUAGACGAUGAUGUUGAAGAUGAUGACGAAGAGGAUGAAGGGCUGGGGGAGGAAGAGGAUGAAAAUUAUCAGAACAAUGGUUUUGCUCACACGAGCGAAGAAGUAGAUGAUGGCGAUGACGAAGAUGAUUUUGUUAUGGAUGAAGACAACAAGCAGAACAGUACUGUGAAAUUGGAUGAUGCUGAUUUGGAAAGACACCCCAAGAAGCGACGGCUGAAGAAUUUGAUAUCCAAUUAUGAACUUGCUCCUCGUAUGCCAC
This 376-nucleotide unclassified non-coding RNA is filed under the name Hevea brasiliensis (rubber tree). The record is from RNAcentral. Lineage: Eukaryota; Viridiplantae; Streptophyta; Magnoliopsida; Malpighiales; Euphorbiaceae.